GUUAUCAGGGUUCGAUUUAGCCAUGCGAGGCGUGAGUCUUCUGGACUCGCCGAACUGCUCAGUAACACGUAGUUAACCUAAUCUUAGCUGGGGGAUAAUCCUGGGAAACUGGGGCUAAUACCCCAUAAGUUCUGAAGGCUGGAAUGCAUCAGAACUGAAAGUUCCGACGGCUAAGAAUGGGACUGCGGCGUAUCAGGCUGUAGUGAGUGUAAAAUACUCACUAGCCUAUAACGCGUAGGGGACAUGAGAGUGUGAGCCCCGAGUUGCACUCUGAGACAUGAAUGCAGGUCCUACGGGACGCAGCAGGCGCGAAACCUUUCCAAUUCGUUAGCGCGUGAGAAGGGAACCCUGAGUGGUUAUGUUAUGCAUAACCUUUUCCUUAGCCUCAAUAGCUAGGGGAAUAAGUGGUGGGCAAUACAGGUGCCAGCCGCCGCGGUAA
RNAcentral lists this ribosomal RNA (439 nucleotides) under uncultured archaeon. RNAcentral describes it as "bacterial SSU rRNA". It matches the Rfam family "Archaeal small subunit ribosomal RNA", at positions 29 to 473 of the family's 1478-position model. The record is from RNAcentral.